UCUUCAUUUCUCGUCACAAGGAGAAUGAUAAAGAAAUUAAUCAUUUCACUGCAGCUUUCAUGUUUUUACAGAACCGUACUUAGUACUGCAUAUGACAUUUGAAGAUAUCAUCAAAAGAUUUUUCUCGAUGCAAGGUGUCGGAGCCGAACACGUAGAGAGAAAAAGAGCGCGAGGUUAAAUCGACGAGGCACUCGUAAAAAUUCUUGGCCACGUCCCGGGCCCCCGAAACCUUUUUACGACUUCAUCGAACCGUUGCGUUCCUACGGCACUCGCUACUACCGCAAUAAUAUUUCGAGAGUUUGCGCUCCCCCUCUCGAAAGGGCGCACCCCAAGGACCGCGAGGGAUGAAAAACCGAGGGGUAGUCGGUCGAAUCAAUUCCAAACACGGGAGAGGCGCGCCUGUUUCAGCGGUGGGUCACGGGACUGGGUUACCGGUAUCCGAGCAGGGAUGUAACAAAUAGCGAGCAAUUUAAAUCGAGACGGGCGGAAGUUGCUCAGCAGUUUACCGGUAUUAGGCGUAGGGGAAGAUACCACCGAGGUUCGAGGAAACACAACCCAAGGGGAAACGAAAGAUGAAAAAAAAAAAAAAAAAGAGGAACGAGAGGACGGGGAUCGGAGGUGGACCACACGCACACACAACGAACGAACGUGACCGGGACGAUCCGAGUUCAUAUUGUUAUGCGGGGGUAUCCAUCCUCUUGCUGCAUUAUCGUACAGUCCGCGACAGCAGCACGUGGUCACGCUUUCCAGCACGGAAUCAAGAAGCCUACCCGAUAUCUGUUCGACCACGAUACACGGCCUUUGCAUCUUUGUUUCGACACCGACCGCUGUGUCCGCGAUCUUAACCCCUGAACCCUCGGCCAGCGUUCGUAAAAAGGCAAGACAAAUGUCCGUGGCCUGGCAAGGGUUUGAUGAAUGAAACAUUUGCAGAACAGUCGCAAACAAAUAAUAUAUUGUACUACAAAAGUAGUACACGUAGAACUAGUCGUACAAUAAACGAUAUAAUUAAUGGACAAAAAUUAUUGAAACUAUUCAGAAUUUGUUAUAUGAUUAGAGCUGUACGAUGUAUUGCACGAUUGCAAUCAUAUAAUUGACUACAUAGGCUUUGGGUCAGUGUGGGGCAAGACUGUACGGAGAUGGGAUAAACGAAUCACGUAUUAUUG
Ceratina calcarata is the source of this 1163-nucleotide long non-coding RNA. RefSeq lists it as uncharacterized. The record is from RefSeq and is a predicted model, not a curated record. The transcript is spliced from 4 exons. Lineage: Eukaryota; Metazoa; Arthropoda; Insecta; Hymenoptera; Apidae.